This 468-nucleotide ribosomal RNA is filed under the name uncultured bacterium. RNAcentral describes it as "partial 16S ribosomal RNA". It matches the Rfam family "Bacterial small subunit ribosomal RNA", at positions 28 to 507 of the family's 1533-position model. The record is from RNAcentral.
GACGAACGCUGGCGGCGUGCUUAACACAUGCAAGUCGAACGGCAAGGCCCUGCUUUUGUGGGGUGCUCGAGUGGCGAACGGGAGAGUAACACGUGAGUAAACUGCCCUUGACAAUGGGAUAACAUCAGGAAACUGGGGCGAAUACCGGAUAGGAGCUCCUGCUGCAUGGGGGGGGUUGGGAAGUUUCGGCGGUUGGGGAUGGACUCGCGGCUUAUCAGCUUGGUGGUGGGGUAGUGGCUUACCAAGGCUUUGACGGGUAGCCGGCCUGGGAUGGUGACCGGCCAAACUGGGCCUGAGCUACGGCCCAGACCCCUACGGGAGGCAGCAGUGCGGAAUAGUGCACAAUGGGCGGAGGCCUGAUGCAGCACCGCCGCGUGCGGUAUGUCGUGCUGCGGGUUGUGAACCGCUUUCGCCUGUGACGAGGCGUGAGUGACGGCAAUGAGUAAAGAAGCACCGGCUAACUACGUG